CCCUACGGGGCGCGGCAGUGGGAAAUAUUGCACAAUGGACGAAAGCCUGAUGCAGCAACGCCGCGUGAGCGAUGAAGGCCUUCGGGUCGUAAAGCUCUGUCCUCAAGGAAGAUAAUGACGGUACUUGAGGAGGAAGCCCCGGCUAACUACGUGCCCGUAGCCGCGGUAAUACGUAGGGGGCUAGCGUUAUCCGGAAUUACUGGGCGUAAAGGGUGCGUAGGUGGUUUCUUAAGUCAGAGGUGAAAGGCUACUGCUCAACCGUAGUAAGCCUUUGAAACUGGGAAACUUGAGUGCAGUAGAGGAGG
RNAcentral lists this ribosomal RNA (305 nucleotides) under uncultured bacterium. Its description in RNAcentral is "bacterial SSU rRNA". It matches the Rfam family "Bacterial small subunit ribosomal RNA", at positions 337 to 660 of the family's 1533-position model. The record is from RNAcentral.